UAGGGAAUAUUGGACAAUGGGUGAGAGCCUGAUCCAGCCAUGCCGCGUGCAGGAAGAAGGCGUUAUGCGUUGUAAACUGCUUUUUGCCAGGGGAUAAAAUGACCGUGCGCGGUUAAUUGAAGGUACCUGGUGAAUAAGCCACGGCUAACUACGUGCCAGCAGCCGCGGUAAUACGUAGGUGGCAAGCGUUGUCCGGAUUUAUUGGGUUUAAAGGGUGCGUAGGUGGCCCUGUAAGUCAGUGGUGAAAUAUCUCAGCUUAACUGAGAGGGUGCCAUUGAUACUGCAGGGCUUGAGUACAGAUGAGGUAGGCGGAAUUGACGGCGUAGCGGUGAAAUGCAUAGAUAUCGUCAAGAGCACCGAUAGCGAAGGCAGCUUACCAAGCUGUAACUGACACUGAGGCACGAAAGUGUGGGGAUCAAACAGGAUUAGAUACCCGUGUAGUCCCUGAGCGGGCUGGCAAGGCG
This 464-nucleotide ribosomal RNA is filed under the name uncultured bacterium. RNAcentral's name for it is "bacterial SSU rRNA". It matches the Rfam family "Bacterial small subunit ribosomal RNA", at positions 355 to 822 of the family's 1533-position model. The record is from RNAcentral.